RNAcentral lists this long non-coding RNA (222 nucleotides) under Elaeis guineensis (African oil palm). RNAcentral's name for it is "long non-coding RNA (EGUI_LNC047846)". The record is from RNAcentral. Lineage: Eukaryota; Viridiplantae; Streptophyta; Magnoliopsida; Arecales; Arecaceae.
UACAAGAAAUUUAGUUUUUUGUGACAAGCAAUGUUGUCACUGAAACUUGGAAUAUUGUCACUGAUGAAUUUCUCUGACAACAAACUAUUGUCACUAGCCGGUCGCAAUUGCUUCAUCGCUAAAACCAUUUAUGACAACUUAAAUUUCUUGUCACUGAAUCAUUUCUUUUCUGUGACAAUAGAGCUUGUCACUUAAUGUACUUUUUGCUGUCACCAAUACAAU